CGACCCCAGGAUGGGCGGGAUGACCCGCUGAGUUU
This 35-nucleotide ribosomal RNA is filed under the name Spiranthes spiralis. RNAcentral describes it as "partial 26S ribosomal RNA". The record is from RNAcentral. RNAcentral also lists the same sequence under 1 other name. Lineage: Eukaryota; Viridiplantae; Streptophyta; Magnoliopsida; Asparagales; Orchidaceae.